This 377-nucleotide ribosomal RNA is filed under the name uncultured eukaryote. RNAcentral's name for it is "partial 18S ribosomal RNA". It matches the Rfam family "Eukaryotic small subunit ribosomal RNA", at positions 592 to 976 of the family's 1831-position model. The record is from RNAcentral.
CAAUAGCGUAUAUUUAAGUUGCUGCAGUUAAAAAGCUCGUAGUUGGAUUUCGGGUGGGAAUGGCCGGUCCGCCGUUUCGGUGUGCACUUGCUACGCCCACCUUGCUGCCGGGGACGUGCUCUUGAGUUCACGCUCGGGACACGGAGUCGGCGAGGUUACUUUGAGUAAAUUAGAGUGUUCAAAGCAGGCCUACGCUCUGAAUACAUUAGCAUGGAAUAACACGAUAGGACUCUGGCCUAUCUUGUUGGUCUGUAGGACCGGAGUAAUGAUUAAGAGGGACAGUCGGGGGCAUUCGUAUUUCAUUGUCAGAGGUGAAAUUCUUGGACUUAUGAAAGACGAACUACUGCGAAAGCAUUUGCCAAGGAUGUUUUCAUUAA